AAUGGGGGCAACCCUGACGCAGCAACGCCGCGUGAGUGAUGAAGGCUUUCGGGUCGUAAAGCUCUGUCGGGCGGGAAGAAAUGGUGUUGGUUAAUAUCCAGCAUUUUGACGGUACCGCCAAAGGAAGCACCGGCUAACUCCGUGCCAGCAGCCGCGGUAAUACGGGGGGUGCAAGCGUUAUUCGGAAUUAUUGGGCGUAAAGGGUGCGUAGGCGGUUUUGUAAGUCAGAUGUGAAAUACCGGGGCUUAACUUCGGAACUGCAUUUGAUACUGCGAGACUUGAGUAUGGGAGAGGAGAGCGGAAUUCCUGGUGUAGAGGUGAAAUUCGUAGAUAUCAGGAGGAACACCGGUGGCGAAGGCGGCUCUCUGGACCAAUACUGACGCUGAGGCACGAAGGCGUGGGGAGCAAA
Molecule: ribosomal RNA, 409 nt
Filed under: uncultured bacterium
Lineage: Bacteria
Description: bacterial SSU rRNA
Rfam family: Bacterial small subunit ribosomal RNA
Source: RNAcentral